RNAcentral lists this transfer RNA (92 nucleotides) under Bacillota bacterium. RNAcentral describes it as "Firmicutes bacterium (gut metagenome) tRNA-Ser". It matches the Rfam family "tRNA". From Rfam's summary of the family: Transfer RNA (tRNA) molecules are approximately 80 nucleotides in length. Their secondary structure includes four short double-helical elements and three loops (D, anti-codon, and T loops). Lineage: Bacteria; Bacillati; Bacillota. The record is from RNAcentral.
GGAUGGGUGGCUGAGUUGGUCUAAGGCGCACGAUUGGAAAUCGUGUGUACGCUAAUACCGUACCAAGGGUUCAAAUCCCUUCCCAUCCGCCA